Long non-coding RNA from Bos taurus (domestic cattle), 1293 nucleotides. The record is from Ensembl. Lineage: Eukaryota; Metazoa; Chordata; Mammalia; Artiodactyla; Bovidae.
CUCCUGCCCCGGGCAGGCCCCCUGCGGGCCCCCCAUCUCGAGCUUCCGAGAGCUCCGGGAAGUGCUCGCGGCGCCGGGCGGGACUUGCUGUGGGCGCGGCGUUCGCUCGCUUCCGGCUCCCGCAGCCGCGGGGAGGAGGCGGGGUGGCUCCGCGCUGCGGGUCCCUCGGCCCUGCGGCCCGGCUGGCGGUGGACGCGGUGUCACGGCCGGCCCCCUCGGGCCUUCCUCCCACAGUCCGCACGACCCCUGACCGCAGAGCUACGUCCGUGCGCCAAGAGGGCGUCCCCCGCCCGCUGGGCCCAGGGACCCGACGGCCGCAGGCCAGGUUCCCAAAUCAUGCUUCUUCCACCUCAUUUUCGGGAGUCCGCUGGAAGAGUUGACAAUCCCGGGAAAGGCCGGGUUUCGCUUUGGAAGAAGUUCGUCUGGGAGUGUGCGGGCGGAGCUCGUGAAGUCCGGACCGCUGUGCCCCUGAGGGGAGCCCCCGGCCCCGGGCACGGCCCCAUCCGCGCCGCUGGGGUGUGUUUCCCUGAGACCUCUCCAGGGAUCAGCACGACGUCCUCGUCUCGCCGACGCCAGCGCUGUCACCCGCUGUGACCUCACCUGCCACUCCGUCUGCCAAGGGCACCAGGCCAGGCUCUCCUCUUCCGGAGGAGGGGACCCAGGGACACGGUCUCUGCAUGCUCCGGUUCAGAGGCUGCUGUCAUCUGCUGCCUCCCCUUCUGGCUUCAGCUCAGAGUGAGGAGGAGAUUCCAGGGCAGGAAAUCCCGGAAGAGGCAGAACCCCAGUGUGUCCAGGCGACAAAUGCCUCAAGUCUCCGAUGGUGGGGCCAAGGACCUGCCGGACUGUGCAGAAGCCAUCAGGGUUCCCAGCUGGCAGGGCUGCCACAAGAGACCUGCCCGCACCAGGCGAUUCCUGGGGAGGAGAGGAACCAAGACCUUGAGAUGGGAAGCAAAGCCAGCCUCACCGCCAGCCUGUGACCCGCCAGGGAGACCACACAAGAGAGAGGUUGGGCGCGGUGAGCCCGGCUGUUUGAGCCACUCCAAAUCUAGCAGGCGUGGGGAGCCCCAGCCUGGGAACCAGCUCUCCACCAGCCUGUGGGACUCAAGGCCUCCCCGCACUGGCCAAGGCCUGGAGCGGCAGAAGCUUCCCGUUAGGGGAGAAGCCUCACCAGUGCGUGCAGGAGAGUUUUCGGAUAGACAUCGGACUAGAGGAUCCACACUGGCAGGAAGCCAUCUCGUGUAGCCAGCGCGGGAAAGCCUUUGUGCACAGCUCCCAGGUCACGCAGCCCCCGCG